UCAAGAGAAUCUAUACUACCCUGUUCGAGAUCAAAACCAAAAACAGAACACAUGAUCAAAAGAGAGCUAUCUCUGAAAUAUACCUCCGAUCGAACGUUAGGGCUUUACUUCUUUUGGGGGAAAAACAUCUUCUUUCGGCCAGAUUGGGGGGAAAGAGGGAUUCGAAGCGGCGAGAUAUCGCGGAAAAAAACAGCGAGAGAAAGGAGAAACAGGAGGGCCGAAGAAACGGUAGCAUUUAUAGGUUG
RNAcentral lists this long non-coding RNA (245 nucleotides) under Phoenix dactylifera (date palm). RNAcentral describes it as "long non-coding RNA (PDAC_LNC016191)". The record is from RNAcentral. Lineage: Eukaryota; Viridiplantae; Streptophyta; Magnoliopsida; Arecales; Arecaceae.